GGAGUUAGCCGGUGCUUCUUCUGUGAGUGAUGUCCUUCCUGCCGGCUAUUAACCCGCAGGCCUUCUUCCUCACUGAAAGUGCUUUACAACCCGAAGGCCUUCUUCACACACGCGGCAUGGCUGGAUCAGGGUUGCCCCCAUUGUCCAAUAUUCCCCACUGCUGCCUCCCGUAGGAGUCUGGGCCGUGUCUCAGUCCCAGUGUGGCUGAUCAUCCUCUCAGACCAGCUACGGAUCGUCGCCUUGGUGAGCCGUUACCUCACCAACCAGCUAAUCCGACAUAGGCUCAUCCGAUAGCGCGAGGCCCGAAGGUCCCCCGCUUUCCCCCGUAGGGCGUAUGCGGUAUUAGCCUGGGUUUCCCCAGGUUAUCCCCCACUACCAGGGCAGAUUCCUAUGCAUUACUCACCCGUCCGCCGCUCGCCACCAGGGAGCAAGCUCCCCGUGCUGCCGCUCGACUUGCAUGUGUUAGGCCUGCCGCCAGCGUUCAAUCUGAGCCAGAAUCAAACUCUGA
RNAcentral lists this ribosomal RNA (508 nucleotides) under uncultured bacterium. Its description in RNAcentral is "partial 16S ribosomal RNA". The record is from RNAcentral.